This is an unclassified non-coding RNA of Pongo abelii (Sumatran orangutan), 146 nucleotides long. It matches the Rfam family "Metazoan signal recognition particle RNA". Rfam says of the family: The signal recognition particle (SRP) is a universally conserved ribonucleoprotein. NCBI's taxonomy places the organism in Eukaryota, Metazoa, Chordata, Mammalia, Primates, Hominidae. The record is from Ensembl.
GCUGGGCAUGGUGGUGCAUGCCUGUAGUCCCAGCUAUGGGAGGCUGAGGUGGGAGGAUCACUUGAGCCAGGGAGAUUGAGGCUGCAGUGAGCUGAGAUCAGGCCACUGCACUCCAGCCUGGGCAACAGAGCAAUACCCUGUCUCAC